AAGAGAGCUCAUCAUGAACAGUGUGAACAUACCAACUGUCAUGGAGCUGCUCUCUUUA
RNAcentral lists this microRNA precursor (58 nucleotides) under Limulus polyphemus (Atlantic horseshoe crab). RNAcentral describes it as "Lpo-Mir-281-P18_pre stem-loop". Lineage: Eukaryota; Metazoa; Arthropoda; Merostomata; Xiphosura; Limulidae. The record is from RNAcentral.